This 460-nucleotide ribosomal RNA is filed under the name uncultured bacterium. RNAcentral's name for it is "bacterial SSU rRNA". It matches the Rfam family "Bacterial small subunit ribosomal RNA", at positions 632 to 1090 of the family's 1533-position model. The record is from RNAcentral.
ACUGCAAGGCUAGAAUCUGGCAGAGGGGGGUAGAAUUCCACGUGUAGCGGUGAAAUGCGUAGAGAUGUGGAGGAACACCGAUGGCGAAGGCAGCCCCCUGGGUCAAGAUUGACGCUCAUGCACGAAAGCGUGGGGAGCAAACAGGAUUAGAUACCCUGGUAGUCCACGCCCUAAACGAUGUCUACUAGUCGUCGGGUUUUAAUUAACUUGGUAACGCAGCUAACGCGUGAAGUAGACCGCCUGGGGAGUACGGUCGCAAGAUUAAAACUCAAAGGAAUUGACGGGGACCCGCACAAGCGGUGGAUGAUGUGGAUUAAUUCGAUGCAACGCGAAAAACCUUACCUACCCUUGACAUGUACGGAAUCCCGAAGAGAUUUGGGAGUGCUCGAAAGAGAGCCGUAACACAGGUGCUGCAUGGCUGUCGCCAGCUCGUGUCGUGAGAUGUUGGGUUAAGUCCCGC